UGACGGUACCCGAUGAAUAANGGGCUCCUAACUCUGUGCCAGCANGAGCGGUAAUACAGAGGCCCCAAGCAUUACCCGGAUUCACUGGGCGUAAAGGGUGUCUAGGCGGCCAUAUUAGUCGUUCGUUAAAUCUGCGGGCCCAACCCGCAGGNCGCGGACGAAACGGUAUGGCUCGAGGGCGCGAGAGGUGCACGGAACUCAUGGUGGAGGGGUGAAAUCCGUUGAUAUCAUGGGGAACACCGAAGGCNAAGGCAGUGCACUGGUGCGUUCCUGACGCUCACACACGAAAGCCAGGGUAGCGAACGGGAUUAGAUACCCCGGUAGUCCUGGCCCUCAACGCUGUUCGCUCGUUCUACGGAGUAUCGACCCUCUGUGGGACUAAGGUAACCCGGUAAGCGAACCGCCUGGGU
Molecule: ribosomal RNA, 410 nt
Filed under: uncultured bacterium
Lineage: Bacteria
Description: bacterial SSU rRNA
Rfam family: Bacterial small subunit ribosomal RNA
Source: RNAcentral